This is a long non-coding RNA of Canis lupus familiaris (dog), 3875 nucleotides long. RefSeq lists it as uncharacterized. The record is from RefSeq and is a predicted model, not a curated record. NCBI's taxonomy places the organism in Eukaryota, Metazoa, Chordata, Mammalia, Carnivora, Canidae. The transcript has 12 exons.
CGGCGGAGGCAGCGGCCGCCUCGGCCGCCUGGGCGCUCGGUGGCUGCGCUCCGCUCCCUGGUGUGUUGAUUCUUCCCCCAGCUGCUGCCUAAUGGAGUCCAGGCGCUCGCGUCACAGGAAAUGCCUAUACUGCCCUCCUCACUCACUUCCGGUGGCAGUUCAUUUUUCAAGAUUUGCCUCGUUCGGGGGCCUCAUCAAGGGAGCCUUUCCUGACUUCCAGCCUCCUGGCCCUCCGUUGAUAGACCGCUUGGACCAGCUUGUAGCUGCUGCUGCACUCUGUGGUGGCAGGUCACACUGAAACACCACAUAUGACCCCGAGCUUCAUAUGCAGAGAUCUUCCCUGGAGCCCUGUGGACGAGCAAAAGGAAUGGCCUGUGCUGAUCUGGAAAUGGCAUCAAGAUAUGUUAUUAAGUAAAAAAACUGCAUGUGGCGUGGGUCCAUGGCAGACUUCUGUGGCACUGGAGAAACGCUAAAGGCAACACCUGGCAUCAUUUUAAGCACUCUACGCAUAUUGUGCUAUUUUAAUCUCAGCAACCUUGUGAGUCUGUUGACUCUUCUGGUGCCCGUCCCUGACGCUUGGGCCGGGAGACAUGCUGAGGAAUGCUUCCUCUGGGGUUUCGACCGGCACGGCUAUUUGUCAUGGCCUCAGAAGCUGCUUGGCUACAGAGACCUGGAAGCUUGGGGAUCUCAAGAUACACCUUGACCAGUGGAGUCUGUCUGAGCCUUGUGUAACCUUGUCACGAGACGAAAUAUUGGGUCAAAGGGCCAAAGGAUGCCAGGUGGGGGUCUUGGUGCCAUUCCCAGCCUGACUGUUCCUGAAGCUUCCCAGUCCAAGUGUGGGAAUUCCGUUGGUGGUUCUGACACCUGGUGGCCAUACUGGAGACUGCACCUGGGCCAGCGGCUCCCUGUGGCUUGGAUCCUUCCCUACUUUUAAUGUCAACAAUGCAAGAGUCUCCAGUAAAGUGGAAGAGUAAAGCCAUAUACGUCAGUGAUGGAGUUUCCUGUUACACGAAGCCAAACUUCAUUUAACAGAUGCAGGGACCCUCAGUGAUGCCCACUGUGGCAUGGAAGCAGGAAACAGAAUCACACCACUCGAAUCUCUGUGUCUUCCAGGGCAGAAUUGGCUGGCAGGGGAGUCUGCAGAAUGCUGUCUUCAGGCAGUGAGGAGGUGUAGCAGAGAAAUAGAGAGGCAGAGACACAGGCAGAAGGAGAAGCAGGCUCCAUGCAGGGAGCCCGACGUGGGACUCGAUCCCGGGACUUCAGGAUCACGCCCCGGGCCAAAGGCAGGCGCUAAACCACUGAGCCACUGGGGAUCCCAAAAACAUCCAUCUUUAAAGAAGACAUUGCUCUGGGUCACACGAGUCUGUGAUCCUGGUCACCCCAGCUCCAUCUGCUAUGUACUUACCUUCCCUAUGCACACACAAAGUGCUGCAAGAAUUCAGAGGACAGGGAGCAUUUCUGGCAGGGAAUUGUCCUUGAGUGACCUUGGAGGGCAUUAGGGAGGCAGCACUAGAGUUGAGUCUCCAAGGACCGGGAGUUUUUGUUAGAAGAGAUUGGUGGGUUUGUGUUGGGGGGUGGGGACAUGCUAGGUGAGGGGGUGGUAUGAGUCUCAGCUCAAGGGUGGAAAUGCCAAACCAGAGAGGGGGCCAGUGGCCGAGCUGUGGGACAGUGAAGGAGGAGGAGAUCUGAAUUGCUUGUGGGGAUCAGUGGGUGGGAGCCAUUGUCAACUGCCAUUUGUUGUUGUUGGGAAUCCCUGAUGAGAGGCCAGUUUGUUUGGUCAGCGAUGCCUAAUCUCCAAUGCUUCAGAAUCACUUGGGACUCCACCACUGUAAUUUCUGAUUCAGGAGAUCUGGUGUGGAGCCCAAGAAAUCUGUAUUUGGAGAAUGUUCUUCAAGGAUUUUUGUUCACUCUCUGGUUUUUUGUUUUUUAUUUUUUUACUCUCUGGUUUUAACAUGCCGGAAUGGGAGGCGAUGGCAAUAGCCCACUUGUAAUGUGGCAGAACAUGGAUUCGGGGUGGUGGCAAUGGGAUGGAAGAGGAAGUCCAUUUGAAAGGCUCUGUAAAAGGGCAAGGAGGGCAUGAGAUGAUGCCAGACCUGUUGGAAACCCAGACUGCAAUCACACUGGCCUUAUUCAGUGGUUCAUGACUGGGGUCCAUCCCAUCCAGCAGGUAGAAGGGAGCUCCCCUGGGCUUCAUCAAAGGAAGAAUUUUCACAGAUGGAGACUGAGCAGAGAACACAUUGUUUCAGGUGAGGACAGCUUCCCAAGGGAAUGGGAGAGAUCUCCUGGGUGGACUGUCCCACUCGGCCACUCCACCAUGACUGGCUCAAUCUUCCUGGGGCUGGACGGUGUUAGGAUUCGUAGCUCCAUCUGGGGCCUGCUGCCUCCAUUGUAACAGACCACUCCCUGCCCCACUCUGGGGGUUGUGCUGAGCCCUUCCCUGUUCUGUGUCCCUCCCAUAUCAGGGACUGCUGGGCUCCCCUGCUCACUUGUGACUGCAUCAACCUCACUAAUAACCAUUUCUGGGGCAAUGAUUCCACACGAUACAUAGUUAUUUGGGCUCUUUGUGGAUAGUUUUUCAAAAGGAUAUUUUUGCACACUGUUAUUGCUGACAUUAUCCUCAUUAUGUUUUUAAAAGCUAUUUUAUGACAAUUUCUAACCUCAGUUUUGUCUAAUUAUCUCUUUUAAAAAAGGCAUUAGGAAAAAACUCAAGUUUCUGUUGCAGAGAGGCACAUAAUCCCCAUAAAAUCUGGAUAUCUAAUUUGUCCUUGAAUAUCCUCAGAGUAAUGGGAGACUCACAGACAAAGUGAAACCUGGUAUUAUCUAAGACAGCAACGUACUGCUUGAUCUUGAACAAACUGGAUUUAAGUCUUGUUUGGGCACUAGAAGAAAAUUAACUGGUUCCAUCAUAAACCCUUAAUGCCAGAGCAGACAAUGUUUCAUUAAAAGGCAGAGGAAAAGUGCUGAUGUACAUCCUUCCUUUUUGGGAAGCUGAUCCUUUUGUUAUGGAACAAAGACUGGUAAAAAUAUUCACUUUGCAGUCAUCAGGAUGGCAGAACUUGAAUUUGAUGAACAAGCGUAUUUAUCAUUUGUCAUGAUAUUUUGGCUGCAUGAUUCAGCAUUCUGAUUUGCAUUGACCAUUUUGAAAAAAAUGAGGCAUUUCUUGGUCAUAAAGUUUGUUUCUUGGGAAUAUUCCUACUUUGUGGGCUGGUUGACUGUGGAGCUUUCAGCCUUCGUGUAAGGUAAGAACAUGGGAGUCUCAGAAACGUCAAUGUGGGUUGGCCAGCAUGAAGUCUAUGAGGUUUGGACCGAGCGUGGGGCCUGGGUAGAAAGGAAUGGGAAGGACAUGGCUACUGCUGGCUUCAAUCUCAAAGGUCAGGGAAGAACCCCCAGAUACACUGCUGCUGAGGAGGAACAAUUUAUUCCACCUUGCCGAGUUUCUUCUGCAGGUCUAAAAAUCACACUGACAUGAGACAGAUGAACAGAAACCAAUCCCAUCUAAUUUCGUGCCUGCUGGAACCUCACAUACAGAGAGGUUCAAAGAAAAGAACCCCACAGCAUUCAACAUUCAACAUAACGAGCAUCCUCCAUAUGCCAGGCACGGUGCUGAUGAGAAUAAACAUGGGCAAGACCCGGUCCCUUCAGGGGUCCUGUGUGUGCUUCCUUAGCUGGUGAGCAGAGAUGAUGUUAUGCCUCUUGUGAUAUCUGUGACCCCAAGACCUACUGGGACAGUCCUGACACAUAUUGUGGUUUCAUCAAGUAUCUGUUGAAUGAAUGACAAUAUUCAGAAUGUGUAAGUAGCAGGGCACCCCGUUGGCUCAGUAGGUGGAGCAUGUGACUUGACCUUGGGGUUGUGAGUUUGAGCCCCACAUCGAGUG